RNAcentral lists this long non-coding RNA (489 nucleotides) under Pan troglodytes (chimpanzee). RNAcentral describes it as "long non-coding RNA NONPTRT007238". The record is from RNAcentral. Lineage: Eukaryota; Metazoa; Chordata; Mammalia; Primates; Hominidae.
GUUUGAAGGACUCCAUAGUGCUGCGUAGCCAGAGAGCAGCAAUACAAAUAAUUCUGUUCUUUUCUUUUGCGUUACCAUUUACUCAAUGUUUAUGCACCUCUGAAAUUGUCAUUUGCUCCUCGCAGCAAUUCUAUUUGGUGGACUGAAUCUUCCUUGACCUCAUCAUCCUCUGCCCCACCAUAGAUGAAGGCAGAAAUCCUCCUAGAGAGGAUGCUCGCCAAACAUGCCAAAGGCUUCCUGAGCUUCCCUUUGACAUGGCACAUUUGCAUGCUAAUGUGAAGGUUGGUGUCUUAGCCCAUUUUUGUUGCUCUAACAAAAUAUCACAGACUGAGUAACUUAUAAGCAAUAGACUGGAUGCGGUGGCUCAUGCCUGUAAUCCCAGCACUUUGGGAGGCCAAGGUGGGCAGAUCACGAGGUCAGGAGAUUGAGAACAUCCUGGCCAACAUGGUGAAACACUGUCUCUACAAAAAAUACAAAAAUUAGCUGGGU